This 774-nucleotide ribosomal RNA is filed under the name uncultured Neocallimastigales. RNAcentral's name for it is "partial large subunit ribosomal RNA". It matches the Rfam family "Eukaryotic large subunit ribosomal RNA", at positions 24 to 644 of the family's 3401-position model. The record is from RNAcentral. Lineage: Eukaryota; Fungi; Neocallimastigomycota; Neocallimastigomycetes; Neocallimastigales.
UAUGUGAUCGUCUCUCGCAUAUCAAUAAGCGGAGGAAAAGAAACUAACAAGGAUUCCCCUAGUAACGGCGAGUGAAGCGGGAAGAGCUCAAAUUUGAAAUCUUAAAGGGUUUCCCUUUACGAAUUGUAGUUUAAAGAAGUGUUUUCUGUUGAGGUUUUGGUAAAAGUUCUUUGGAAUAGGACAUCAUAGAGGGUGAGAAUCCCGUAUUUGACCUUUACUUUCAACUUUGUGAUACACUUUCAAAGAGUCGGAUUGUUUGGGAGUGCAGUCCAAAAUGGGUGGUAAAUUUCAUCUAAAGCUAAAUAUUGGCGAGAGACCGAUAGCGAACAAGUACCGUGAGGGAAAGAUGAAAAGAACUUUGAAAAGAGAGUUAAACAGUACGUGAAAUUGUCAAAAGGGAAGCGUUUGACACCAGUGUUGUUUUUCUGAAAAUCAAUUAAAGAACUGUUUAUGCUAAGUUGUUUAGACUUUAUCAGCUAACUGUUUAGUUUUGAGCUUUUCUUUAAUGCACUUUUCAGUUAACAAGUCAACAUCAAUUUCUUUUGCUGUAAAAAAGCUUGAGGAAGGUGGCUUGAGAUUCGUCUUAAGUGUUUAUAGCCUCUUGCCUAUGCAGUCGGAGAGAUUGAGGUCUGCAGCGUAGAUCCUUCGGGGCUAAAUGCAUUUGUGCUAAGUUAUAGCAUUUUAUAGACAACUUGUUGACUAUGAUUUGUCUUGUAGCUUACUCGCUUAUGUUAUUUUACCUACGCUUAGGAUGUUGACUGAUAUGUAGUCGUA